This 187-nucleotide non-coding RNA is filed under the name Amazona aestiva (blue-fronted amazon). RNAcentral describes it as "Eukaryotic large subunit ribosomal RNA". It matches the Rfam family "Eukaryotic large subunit ribosomal RNA", at positions 2605 to 2820 of the family's 3401-position model. The record is from Rfam by way of RNAcentral. Lineage: Eukaryota; Metazoa; Chordata; Aves; Psittaciformes; Psittacidae.
UGUAUUUUACAGUUGUAUUAGUGGGGGGUUACACCUCUUCAAAGCNUAACACAGGUCUCCUAAGGUGAGCUCAGGGAGGAAGGAAAUCUCCCAUGGAGCAUAACAGCAAAAUAUAGACCAUGAGAGCAGGGCCUCAUGAUCCUCCUGGCUUUGGGGUUUUAAGCAGGAGGUGUCAGAAAAGUUACCA